RNAcentral lists this ribosomal RNA (492 nucleotides) under uncultured bacterium. Its description in RNAcentral is "partial 16S ribosomal RNA". It matches the Rfam family "Bacterial small subunit ribosomal RNA", at positions 29 to 507 of the family's 1533-position model. The record is from RNAcentral.
AAUGAACGCUGGCGGCAUGCCUAACACAUGCAAGUCGAACGGCAGCACAGUACAAGGGUUCUGUUACGGGUCGCGCGUGGGGGACGCGCGAGGAAUACCUGGGAACCAGCUGUGUCUUGCGGGCCGACGUAGGGGAACUUACCGCAAUACCUCAUACGAUCGACAGGGGGAAGCACAGGAUCUUCGGACCUAACACGUAUGACUUGGCCGGUGGCGGGUUAGCUAGUUGGGGGGGUAAAGGCCCACCAAGGCGACGAUCCGUAGCCGGUCUGAGGGGAUGAUCAGCCACACUGGAACUGGAACACGGCCCAGACUCCUACGGGAGGCAGCAGUGGGGAAUAUUGGACAAUGGGCGCAAGCCUGCUCCAGCCAUCCCGCGUGAGUGAAGAAGGCCUUCGGGUUGUAAAGCCCUUUUGUUGGGAAAGAAAAGCAGCAGGUUAAUACCCCGCUGUUCUGACGGUACCCAAAGAAUAAGCACCGGCUAACUUCGUG